RNAcentral lists this long non-coding RNA (520 nucleotides) under Balaenoptera musculus (blue whale). Its description in RNAcentral is "lncRNA (ENSBMSG00010004889.1)". Lineage: Eukaryota; Metazoa; Chordata; Mammalia; Artiodactyla; Balaenopteridae. The record is from RNAcentral.
GGGCGGGAUCUCGCGGCGCGGCCGUGGGCACCCGGACCUCCCGUCCUCCAGAGGGCGCUGCCCUGCCGCGGCCCGCAGACUGGCCUUCGGAGCGGACAGGCCGUGGCGGAGUCGUGGGGACCCCGGGAGCUGUGGGGACCCCGGGAGCCGCGAUCCGGAGCGCGCGGCCCGCCCCCGCGCCGCCAUGUUCAACCAGCAGCAGCAGCAGCAGCUCCAGCAGCUCCAGCAGCAGCAGUUGCUGCAGCUCCAGCAGCUGCUCCAGCAGUCCCCACCGCAGGCCCCACUGCCCAUGGCCGUCAGCAGGGGGCUCCCCCAGCAGCAGCCACAGCAGCAGCUCCUGAAUCUCCAGGGCACCAACUCAGCCUCCCUCCUCAACGGCUCUGUGCUGCAGAGAGCUUUGCUUCUGCAGCAGUUGCAAGGUAUGACUGCGGGCCCUGUCUCGCUCCAUCUUAGCGGGAGCUCCCCAGCAGCCCCACGGCACUGAAUCUCAUCAAAUCCACACAGUAACCCUGAGAGGGAG